AGAGUUUGAUCCUGGCUCAGGAUGAACGCUGGCGGUCUGCUUAACACAUGCAAGUCGAACGGAUUCUUCGGAAUUAGUGGCGGACGGGUGAGUAACGCGUGAGAAUCUGCCCUUAGGUUGGGGACAACAGUUGGAAACGACUGCUAAUACCCAAUGUGCCGAGAGGUGAAAGGUUAACUGCCUGAGGAUGAGCUCGCGUCUGAUUAGCUAGUUGGAGUGGUAACGGCACACCAAGGCGACGAUCAGUAGCUGGUCUGAGAGGAUGAUCAGCCACACUGGGACUGAGACACGGCCCAGACUCCUACGGGAGGCAGCAGUGGGGAAUUUUCCGCAAUGGGCGAAAGCCUGACGGAGCAAGACCGCGUGAGGGAGGAAGGCCUAUUGGUUGUAAACCUCCUUUGAUAGGGAAGAACACAAUGACGGUACCUAUCGAAUCAGCAUCGGCUAACUCCGUGCCAGCAGCCGCGGUAAUACGGAGGAUGCAAGCGUUAUCCGGAUUUAUUGGGCGUAAAGCGUCCGUAGGUGGCAAUCCAAGUCAGUUGUUAAAGCGUAGAGCUUAACUCUAUAACGGCAAUUGAAACUGGAUAGCUAGAGUGCGAUAGGGGCAAGGGGAAUUCCCAGUGUAGCGGUGAAAUGCGUAGAUAUUGGGAAGAACAUCGGUGGCGAAGGCGCCUUGCUGGGUCUGCACUGACACUGAGGGACGAAAGCUAGGGGAGCGAAAGGGAUUAGAUACCCCUGUA
This 740-nucleotide ribosomal RNA is filed under the name uncultured cyanobacterium. Its description in RNAcentral is "bacterial SSU rRNA". It matches the Rfam family "Bacterial small subunit ribosomal RNA", at positions 8 to 792 of the family's 1533-position model. The record is from RNAcentral. Lineage: Bacteria; Bacillati; Cyanobacteriota.